Molecule: ribosomal RNA, 255 nt
Filed under: uncultured bacterium
Lineage: Bacteria
Description: partial 16S ribosomal RNA
Rfam family: Bacterial small subunit ribosomal RNA
Source: RNAcentral
UACGAAGGGGGCUAGCGUUGUUCGGAAUUACUGGGCGUAAAGCGUGCGCAGGCGGCUUCUCAAGUCAGGGGUGAAAGCCCAGAGCUCAACUCUGGAAUUGCCUUUGAGACUGAGUGGCUUGAGUACGAGAGAGGUGAGUGGAAUUCCCAGUGUAGAGGUGAAAUCCGUAGAUAUUGGGAAGAACACCGGUGGCGAAGGCGGCUCACUGGCUCGUAACUGACGCUCAUGACCACGACAGCGUGGGGAUCAAACAGG